UAAAUACGUCAAGGAAGAAAAUUAAACUUUGAGAAAACUAAUCUACUCGGGCGCACGCAACAAAAAAAAUAAUUUAAUUUCGUGGAAUGGUUUCCAACUAUGUGCAUCGACAAAGUGUGCCUGAAGGAUCACAAAGACUGAACCUGCUAAACGUUUUCCGCAGAAACACAAAGAAUCUACCUUGCUCAAGUAUUUAAGUUCAGGAAAUGGUCCGUUGUUGCUGUGCAGGACAACCACACAAGAAUAUAAACGUUGCGCGGCACGGAGUUGAGCGGAAAAAUAUGAGCUAAGUUUUAAGUUACAAAAAGUCUGACGGAAAAAUCACAGCAUCAGUUGAAAGACUGAGUGCAAGAAAAUCCCGUUUCAAGUGGACAAUUCAACUCUCAUGGUUCAUUCAAUCAAAAUCACAAUUUCAAACAGAGAAAAAGAAAUGGUCGACCAAUUUUACUCGUCAUCCAAAUAAUUUGUCGCAUUUUGGUCAAGAUAAAAAACACACUUGAUUAACAGCUGUUUCGUUUCAUUCCAUUUUACACAUAGUUUUCUUUAUUUGCUUCUAAAUGGCUUUUAAUUGGAUUAAUUUCGCUGUGAAAAAGUGCUCAGCAAUUUGUCGGCCCUUUGGUUUUAUGACGAUAGUAAAUGUGGCGUGCACGAAAUCAGCAUU
Sitodiplosis mosellana (orange wheat blossom midge) is the source of this 661-nucleotide long non-coding RNA. RefSeq lists it as uncharacterized. The transcript is spliced from 4 exons. The record is from RefSeq and is a predicted model, not a curated record. NCBI's taxonomy places the organism in Eukaryota, Metazoa, Arthropoda, Insecta, Diptera, Cecidomyiidae.